CUACUUACUUGACAGGGGAGAGACCAUGAUCAUGAAGAUGAUUUUCCCAGGGUGAGGCUCCUCCAUUGCAUUGUGGAUGUGCUGACCCCUGCAAUUUCCCCCAAUGCGGGAAACUUGACUGCAUUACUUGUGGUAGUGGGGGACUGUGUUUGUGCUCUCCCUUG
Gopherus evgoodei (Goodes thornscrub tortoise) is the source of this 164-nucleotide small nuclear RNA. Its record names the gene U1. It matches the Rfam family "U1 spliceosomal RNA". Rfam says of the family: U1 is a small nuclear RNA (snRNA) component of the spliceosome (involved in pre-mRNA splicing). NCBI's taxonomy places the organism in Eukaryota, Metazoa, Chordata, Testudines, Testudinidae. The record is from Ensembl.